Long non-coding RNA from Paramacrobiotus metropolitanus, 811 nucleotides. RefSeq lists it as uncharacterized. The transcript is spliced from 6 exons. NCBI's taxonomy places the organism in Eukaryota, Metazoa, Tardigrada, Eutardigrada, Parachela, Macrobiotidae. The record is from RefSeq and is a predicted model, not a curated record.
UUUUUGAUUGGCCGAGCGGUUUCAGCUCGUUCAUUCAGUUCAUUGCCAGUGAAAUAGCAGCUUGCCGUUGCAAGUUGAAGUUAGUCGAUCAGUCUAGUAAGACGAAGUCAGUAGUUGGACUGUUUUAGUUGCUUCUGCCAUAUUUAUAGUUUUCGGAAAUGAUUAGAAGAUUUGAUCAAGGAUUUCCAUUUAAAACGGUGGAAUUUGAAAACGAUUCUUGCGACAACGUGGAUUUCCAAGCCUUUCCACUGCGCACCGUGAUAAAGAAGCGUCCAUUAUUGGUGGCGCCAGUUUUGCUAAUGCCAGCAAUAGCAAAACGCCUGGGCUUCAACGCAUUGCUGCCGUUUCUUGUGGCCGCAACAGUCUGUCUGCUCUCAAACGAGAAACAGCGUCUUAGUUAAGGUCUUGGAUAUCCAUAACUUUUAGAGAUGAUUAAAAGUGGAACAACUUGAGCGCGAACAGCAAAACGCCGUCACCAAUCACCACUGCGAUUUAUUUAAAGAUAUUGUGGGAAAUCCUAUGGACAGACGUGCAGUCAACUACAACUCGAACAAGCUUCAGGAUUCUUUUCCUGUGAAUUUGCACAUGGACGGCGAUUCGACGCUCGCGAACAGUCUCGAAUGAUUUCGUGAAAAUUCUAGUGAAUUGACUUGGAUAUCCGUGGUUAUGUUUGUAAACAUUAUUACUAAAAUUAUUUAAGAAAUUAGCGUUCUGUAUUAUGAAUGUUUUUUCUGCAUUUGUAACUUUGUGGUAGAAGGUCGCUGUACACCUUGGAUUUCCGAAAUAUCUGUUCUCGCGUUAGAAUUUUCGA